CCUACGGGAGGCAGCAGUGAGGAAUAUUGGUCAAUGGGCGCGAGCCUGAACCAGCCAAGUCGCGUGAGGGAAGACGGUCCUAUGGAUUGUAAACCUCUUUUGUCGGGGAGCAAAAGACGCCACGCGUGGCGUUCCGAGAGUACCCGAAGAAAAAGCAUAGGCUAACUCAGUGCCAGCAGCCGCGGUAAUACGGGGGAUGCGAGCGUUAUCCGGAUUUAUUGGGUUUAAAGGGUGCGCAGGCGGAAGAUCAAGUCAGCGGUAAAAUUGAGAGGCUCAACCUCUUCGAGCCGUUGAAACUGGUUGUCUUGAGUGAGCGAGAAGUAUGCGGAAUGCGUGGUGUAGCGGUGAAAUGCAUAGAUAUCACGCAGAACUCCGAUUGCGAAGGCAGCAUACCGGCGCUCAACUGACGCUCAUGCACGAAAGUGUGGGUAUCGAACAGGAUUAGAUACCCUAGUAGUC
RNAcentral lists this ribosomal RNA (459 nucleotides) under uncultured bacterium. RNAcentral describes it as "partial 16S ribosomal RNA". It matches the Rfam family "Bacterial small subunit ribosomal RNA", at positions 338 to 795 of the family's 1533-position model. The record is from RNAcentral.